RNAcentral lists this ribosomal RNA (483 nucleotides) under uncultured bacterium. Its description in RNAcentral is "partial 16S ribosomal RNA". It matches the Rfam family "Bacterial small subunit ribosomal RNA", at positions 29 to 507 of the family's 1533-position model. The record is from RNAcentral.
GUGAACGCUGGCGGCAGGCCUAACACAUGCAAGUCGAGCGGCAGCGCGGGGGCAACCCUGGCGGCGAGCGGCGGACGGGUGAGGAAUUCGUCGGAAUCUGCCUUUUUGUGGGGGAUAACGUAGGGAAACUUACGCUAAUACCGCAUACGUCCUACGGGAGAAAGUGGGGGACCGCAAGGCCUCACGCAGAAAGAUGAGCCGACGACCGAUUAGCUAGUUGGUGGGGUAAAGGCCCACCAAGGCGACGAUCGGUAGCUGGUCUGAGAGGAUGAUCAGCCACACUGGGACUGAGACACGGCCCAGACUCCUACGGGAGGCAGCAGUGGGGAAUAUUGGACAAUGGGCGCAAGCCUGAUCCAGCCAUGCCGCGUGUGUGAAGAAGGCCUUCGGGUUGUAAAGCACUUUUGUCCGGAAAGAAAUCCCUGGAGCUAAUACCUUCGGGGGAUGACGGUACCGGAAGAAUAAGCACCGGCUAACUUCGUG